Molecule: ribosomal RNA, 350 nt
Filed under: Eukaryota sp.
Lineage: Eukaryota
Description: SSU rRNA
Rfam family: Eukaryotic small subunit ribosomal RNA
Source: RNAcentral
UCGAUAACGAACGAGACCUUAACCUGCUAAAUAGCCCGUAUUGCUUUGGCAGUACGCUGGCUUCUUAGAGGGACUAUCGGCUCAAGCCGAUGGAAGUUUGAGGCAAUAACAGGUCUGUGAUGCCCUUAGAUGUUCUGGGCCGCACGCGCGCUACACUGACAGAGCCAGCGAGUACUCCCUUGGCCGGAAGGCCCGGGUAAUCUUGUUAAACUCUGUCGUGCUGGGGAUAGUCCAUUGCAAUUAUUGGACUUCAACGAGGAAUUCCUAGUAAGCGUGAGUCAUCAGCUCGCGUUGAUUACGUCCCUGCCCUUUGUACACACCGCCCGUCGCUAAUACCGAUUGAAUGGAUG